Hibiscus syriacus is the source of this 1357-nucleotide long non-coding RNA. RefSeq lists it as uncharacterized. The record is from RefSeq and is a predicted model, not a curated record. Lineage: Eukaryota; Viridiplantae; Streptophyta; Magnoliopsida; Malvales; Malvaceae. The transcript is spliced from 3 exons.
CUCCUCCUACUUUUUAUUUUAUUUCAAACCUUAGCAGCAACCAUUCUCCUCCAUUACCGCCACCACUUGCUCGCUUCGCCGCCGUUCACCGCUCAGGUAGGUCUUCGGUCAGCGUCCCAAAAGCUUACACGCUGUGACCCGAACCCCCCCUCCGUGGUCGUGGUACUGGCCUGCACAUUAAGACUGAAAACCGGUCUCUUUGUUUUACUCCGUCACUGCUCCGACCGUCGCAAGUGUCGGGGCUACUCGUAGGAAGCUCGAUCUAGCCGGUGGUGCGCUCGGGUGACCCUUGUUGGCCGUGAGGGAGGCUAAAAACACCAUUGUCGAAUCUGUUUCGCGGGAUGACUUCCGUUUGGUAGCGUGAGUUCACCGUGGCCGGCUGUGAUGGUCAUCGGUUCUUUGGGACUGCUGUCGGUGAAGUUUCGUUGCCGACAGCCCCUGUUAUUCGAACCAAACCCGGGGAUAUCGAGUCGGAAUCAGGGUUACCGUCUCCUCCACCGUCACUCUUUAAUUUCCACCGUCACUCUUCAAUUUUGAAUUGAACCAUGUUACGAGUGUUGACUGUGAGUGGUGACAGCUAUUUUUACUCGUCAGGUUUUGUCGGAUAUUUAGAUUAUUAUUUAAAUUAUUAAAUUAUUUUGUAAGUUCUGAUUCGGAUCGAUUCACUGUUCGAGCUAACCGAGGAAAAGGUUAUUAUCGUCCUUAAUUGUUUGUCGAGGUUUGUCUCACUAUUCGGUGUUAUAUUAUUUUGUUUGAAUGCUUAAUGGCUUGUUUGGUUGGAAAAUGUUUGAAAACAAUUCUAACUAUGAAAUUGAUUGAAAUAAAUGUGAAAAUGCCACGUGAUACAUGUUUUACUGUAGGAAUGGGAAUAUUGCUGUGCAUACGUAUUAUGUAAGUAUGUUGAAUGAUCGAAAUUGAAAAAUAUGCUUCGGAUUAUUUGUUAUGAAGUAUUGUUAUUUGAAUCGGAUCGGACAUUGGAUAUGUAUGUCAUUUGAAGUCACUUUUGGAUUCAGCCUUUUUAGCUGACCCACUUCAUAUGGUGUGGUUUGAUUGUAGAUAGUGUGAUUAUAGAAAAUCAACUCGUUGGAUGAUGUGACGGGAGUACGGACUCACUAAGGGUCCGUUUGUUUGGAGAAAACAAUUUACAGAAACUGUUUUCCCCGUUUUCCCUUGUUGGGUUCAUGUAAAAGUGGUUGGGCAAAGGAAAAUAUUUUUCCGUUCAAAAGAAAAUGGCCCCCUUAUCCAGUAAAACAACUUACGGUCUGUAAAAGGGUAAGUCAUUUUCCGGCUUCACCUUCAAAGCUGAUACCCAAAAUUGUCUGAUCAAACACCACCAUCGACUGCUCACCGACGACGU